Leopardus geoffroyi (Geoffroy's cat) is the source of this 1500-nucleotide long non-coding RNA. RefSeq lists it as uncharacterized. Lineage: Eukaryota; Metazoa; Chordata; Mammalia; Carnivora; Felidae. The record is from RefSeq and is a predicted model, not a curated record. The transcript is spliced from 4 exons.
AGUCAGCUACCAACUCAGAGCCUUCAUAAAAGCGUACUCUGCGGACAACACAGCCCAAGCCGGUCUUCAGGAACCUCAAACCCAAGUCAAGGCUGAUUUCCUGGUCAGGAGAUUGCAACUGGUCUACAUAAGCUGUCGUUGGUGUCGUUCUGCACGUUUGAGGAAUGAGCAAGUAAGUACAUGGUCUAAAUUUCAAAGAUGUAGCCUAAGCCAUCCUCGUUUCUGAGAAGAGUUUUUAGUGCUUGUUUUUUAAAUAGUCCUAUAGGGAAAUGAGGCAGAUGGCAUUGGCUCAUGUGAAGAUCCGUUCCUGCCGCAUGUGGUACAGGCCUGGCAGUGGGGAGACCAAGGUGAAAGGAGAUACAGGCACUGUCUUCAGGGAGUUGAUAGUCCAGAGGAGAAGAGACCAUAAAAGGGACCCACCGCAGUGCAGCAUGAAUAUUCGUGAACAAGCCACCAUACAGGGCAGGUGUGGAUAGGAGGCUUACCCAGGCCUUGCCUCACAGUGGUCAGCAUGGCAGAAAGGGGGUCACCACUCAAGCACCUCCUUCCCCAAUGCUGACACCUCCCGUGCAGAAAGUCCCUCCCAGUUGGGCCGUAAUGUCCAGCUGGUUAGUUUGAGCUUGGGUGUCUUUCUCCUACUACUUUUCUGGGAGCCAUGGCCUGAGUCUUGGAAGCAUGCCCUUGGAGGGCCAUCCGGGGUCAGGACUGCUCAGGGCAGUGAAGGCUCUGUGACGCAAAAUGAGGAUGUGCUUUGCUUCAAGUGCAAGGUGAGAUGUCUUCCACGUACCUUAUGUAGCCCACCUGGGGCCUGUGCUGCAGGAACCAGCGGUAGGACACCUUGUCCUUCCAGCCCACGUUCCUCGAGUCCUUCCACAGCAGCCGGACCUGGUCACUCGUGUCCCCGGUGUGCCACAGGGAGUUGCGGAGAUGCUCCCCUGGGCCUGUCUUAGACUUAACAGCCUGGAAAGGACACGAGCACGGAGUGAGGGAGGCAGCGGCUCAGCCCUCCUGUACACAGCUGGCCCCAUGAAGGGAACAGAUUAGCCAGUUAAACUGGGAUCAGAAGAAGAUCAGAGAGGCAGACCAGCCCCAUGAGGAGCUGCAACGAGUGGAUUCUAUACACGUGCUCCUGAUGCCCUGGACAUACCCACUGCCAGGCCAGGAUCGCUGUUCAUAGUCUGCACAAUCUCCAUGCCCUGCAGAGAGAGUUGAAGGCCAUCUUAGAGGCUGGAGAAAGCUCAAGGAAGCCCAGAGCCUCCGGCAGCAUUGGUGAGUGGUCAGCAAGGUCUGACCUCCACACAAAGAUUUAAUUACCUGAGGAACUGUUCUACCUUGUUAUGUCCUCCAAGAAAGCACAUACUUGUGAGGGGGGAAAGAGAAGCUGAAUAGAGAUUAUUUUGCUAAAACUGUAAUUAAGGGUUUACUGAAUCAGCUUAAUCGAGAGAACAUAGACUUCUAAUGAAUGUGAUUUCCUGGGUGACACUAAAAAACCUAAGCCUC